Panicum virgatum (switchgrass) is the source of this 817-nucleotide long non-coding RNA. RefSeq lists it as uncharacterized. The transcript has 2 exons. The record is from RefSeq and is a predicted model, not a curated record. NCBI's taxonomy places the organism in Eukaryota, Viridiplantae, Streptophyta, Magnoliopsida, Poales, Poaceae.
GUCCCUUCUCCCUAUCCCCCUAUCUCUGUCUUGCAAGGCUGCAACCCUAGACUGGUGGCAACGGCGGAAUAUGGACGGCGACGGUGCAAAUCUAGAUCCGGGUGGAGGUCCUGCUGCGGCUAGAGGUGUGGGCGUCGGUGCCCCGGCGGUGGAUGUGGCCGGCAGUGUGACCCUCGGCGUCAUGGCUGCUGUGGUCAGCGAUGGUGGUGCGGCUGGGGGCACGGGCCUCCGCGGUAUGGCUAUUGCAAUCGGGCUAGCGGCUUGACUGCUGCGGCCGGCGACACGAGCCCCAUCGGCCUGGCAGGUGCAUGCGGGGGCGCGCCUGCCAUCCGCCAUCUUGGUGCGGCCAGUGGUGGGCCUCCUGCCAGUCGAGUUGUUGCGUUCAUGGGGGCAUGCCUCUACGGCUCAACCUCAGGGACAACUAUUUGUCUGGGCCACGGUGCAACUGCAAGCUUAACCUUGGGCACGCCUACAGAGUCGGCCUCACAGGAGGCGCGGCAUGAAUGGCCAGAAGGCCUAGGAACAACAAGAUGCGGAUAGCUAUCUUUGCAACCUCGUUGCCGGAGAAUGAGCAUGUAGGUGUUGAUGAGGAGAUCAUGUACUUAGAGAUUGCACUUGUUCGUGUAGUUGUCUGCUAUGAUAAAGAGAAAGAGAAGGACAAUUCAUGUAAUGAUAUGGCCUCUAGAUCCCGGCCCUGUACACACAAUUCAUGCAUUUGGACCCUUAAACACUGUUUGGGUCUCAUUUUUGUUACACACAAUGUAUACACGUGACGUGCGAUGGCAUAUAGUAUUUACAUGGAUGAAGGGUCAACAAA